CACGUAGGGUGCGAGCGUUGUCCGGAAUUAUUGGGCGUAAAGAGCUCGUAGGCGGUGUGUCGCGUCGGCCGUGAAAACUUGCAGCUUAACUGUGGGCGUGCGGUCGAUACGGGCAUCACUGGAGUUCGGCAGGGGAGACUGGAAUUCCUGGUGUAGCGGUGAAAUGCGCAGAUAUCAGGAGGAACACCGGUGGCGAAGGCGGGACUCUGGGCCGAUACUGACGCUGAGGAGCGAAAGCGUGGGGAGCAAACAGG
This 254-nucleotide ribosomal RNA is filed under the name uncultured bacterium. RNAcentral's name for it is "partial 16S ribosomal RNA". It matches the Rfam family "Bacterial small subunit ribosomal RNA", at positions 524 to 776 of the family's 1533-position model. The record is from RNAcentral.